GAUGAACGCUGGCGGUAUGCUUAACACAUGCCAGUCGAACGGACUCUUCGGAGUUAGUGGCGGACGGGUGAGUAACGCGUGAGAAUCUGGCUUUGGGUUCGGGACAACCACUGGAAACGGUGGCUAAUACCGGAUGUGCCGUGAGGGAAAAGAGAAAUUGCCUGAUAAGGAGCCCGCGUCUGAUUAGCUAGUUGGUGAGGGGAAGGCUCACCAAGGCAGCGAGCAGUAGCUGGUGUGAGAGGAGGAUCAGCCACACCGGGACUGAGACACGGCCCAGAAGACUACUGGAGGAAGCAGUGGGGAAUGAUCCGGCACGGUCGACAGACUGAUGAAGCAGUACCGCGGGGUGGAAGAAGGCGCUUGGGGUGUAAAACUCUUCUUUUAGGGAAGACGAAAAUGACGGUACCCAAAGAAUAAGCACCGGCUAACUUCGUG
RNAcentral lists this ribosomal RNA (435 nucleotides) under uncultured bacterium. RNAcentral describes it as "partial 16S ribosomal RNA". It matches the Rfam family "Bacterial small subunit ribosomal RNA", at positions 28 to 507 of the family's 1533-position model. The record is from RNAcentral.